RNAcentral lists this ribosomal RNA (430 nucleotides) under uncultured bacterium. RNAcentral describes it as "bacterial SSU rRNA". It matches the Rfam family "Bacterial small subunit ribosomal RNA", at positions 355 to 775 of the family's 1533-position model. The record is from RNAcentral.
UCGAGAAGCUUCGGCAAUGGGCGAAAGCCUGACCGAGCGACGCCGCGUGAGCGAUGAAGGCCCUAGUGGUCGUAAAGCUCUGCCAGAUUGGGAACAAAUCCCGGGGGCGAACAACCCCCGGUGCUGAGGGUACCGUCAGAGGAAGCACCGGCUAACUCCGUGCCAGCAGCCGCGGUAAUACGGAGGGUGCGAGCGUUGUUCGGAUUCACUGGGUAUAAAGAGUUCGUAGGCGGCCCCGUAAGUCAGAGGUGAGAGCUGUCGGCUCAACCGGCAAAUUGCCUUUGAAACUGCAGGGCUUGAGUCCGGGAGAGGAAGGUGGAAUUCCUGGUGUAGCGGUGAAAUGCGUAGAUAUCAGGAGGAACACCGGUGGCGAAGGCGGCCUUCUGGCCCGGCACUGACGCUGAGGAACGGAAGCCAGGGGAGCGAACGG